This 415-nucleotide ribosomal RNA is filed under the name uncultured microorganism. Its description in RNAcentral is "bacterial SSU rRNA". It matches the Rfam family "Bacterial small subunit ribosomal RNA", at positions 9 to 420 of the family's 1533-position model. The record is from RNAcentral.
GAGUUUGAUCAUGGCUCAGAGUGAACGCUGGCGGUAGGCCUAACACAUGCAAGUCGAACGGCAGCACAGUAAGAGCUUGCUCUUACGGGUGGCGAGUGGCGGGCGGGUGAGGAAUACAUCGGAAUCUACUUUUUCGUGGGGGAUAACGUAGGGAAACUUACGCUAAUACCGCAUACGACCUACGGGUGAAAGCAGGGGAUCUUCGGACCUUGCGCGAUUGAAUGAGCCGAUGUCGGAUUAGCUAGUUGGCGGGGUAAAGGCCCACCAAGGCGACGAUCCGUAGCUGGUCUGAGAGGAUGAUCAGCCACACUGGAACUGAGACACGGUCCAGACUCCUACGGGAGGCAGCAGUGGGGAAUAUUGGACAAUGGGCGCAAGCCUGAUCCAGCCAUACCGCGUGGUGAGAAGGCCUCGG